AAUGAACGCUGGCGGCAUGCCUUACACAUGCAAGUCGAACGGCAGCACGGGGCAACCUGGUGGCGAGUGGCGAACGGGUGAGUAAUGCAUCGGAACGUACCUUUCAGUGGGGGAUAACGUAGCGAAAGUUACGCUAAUACCGCAUAUUCUGUGAGCAGGAAAGCAGGGGAUCGCAAGACCUUGCGCUGAUUGAGCGGCCGAUGUCAGAUUAGCUAGUUGGUGAGGUAAAGGCUUACCAAGGCGACGAUCUGUAGCGGGUCUGAGAGGAUGAUCCGCCACACUGGAACUGAGACACGGUCCAGACUCCUACGGGAGGCAGCAGUGGGGAAUUUUGGACAAUGGGGGCAACCCUGAUCCAGCCAUGCCGCGUGAGUGAAGAAGGCCUUCGGGUUGUAAAGCUCUUUCGGCCGGGAAGAAAUCGCACGGGCUAAUACCCUGUGUGGAUGACGGUACCGGAAUAAGAAGCACCGGCUAACUACGUGCCAGCAGCCGCAGUAA
Molecule: ribosomal RNA, 498 nt
Filed under: uncultured bacterium
Lineage: Bacteria
Description: partial 16S ribosomal RNA
Rfam family: Bacterial small subunit ribosomal RNA
Source: RNAcentral